UACGUAGGGUGCGAGCGUUGUCCGGAAUUAUUGGGCGUAAAGGGCUCGUAGGCGGUCUGUCGCGUCGGGAGUGAAAACUCAGGGCUUAACCCUGAGCCUGCUUCCGAUACGGGCAGACUAGAGUGAUGUAGGGGAGACUGGAAUUCCUGGUGUAGCGGUGAAAUGCGCAGAUAUCAGGAGGAACACCGGUGGCGAAGGCGGGUCUCUGGGAAACAACUGACGCUGAGGAACGAAAGCGUGGGUAGCAAACAGG
This 253-nucleotide ribosomal RNA is filed under the name uncultured bacterium. Its description in RNAcentral is "partial 16S ribosomal RNA". It matches the Rfam family "Bacterial small subunit ribosomal RNA", at positions 524 to 776 of the family's 1533-position model. The record is from RNAcentral.